Molecule: ribosomal RNA, 386 nt
Filed under: uncultured organism
Description: bacterial SSU rRNA
Rfam family: Bacterial small subunit ribosomal RNA
Source: RNAcentral
UGCCUUACACAUCCAAGUCUAACGGCAGCAAGGGGGCAACCCUGGUGGCGAGUGGCGAACGGGUGAGUAAUAUAUCGGAACGUGUCCUGUAGUGGGGGAUAGCCCGUCGAAAGCCGGAUUAAUACCGCAUACCCUCUCCGGAGGAAAGGGGGGGAUCUUAGGACCUCCCGCUACAGGGGCGGCCGAUGGCAGAUUAGCUAGUUGGUGGGGUAAAGGCUUACCAAGGCGACGAUCUGUAGCUGGUCUGAGAGGACGACCAGCCACACUGGGGAUGAGACACGGCCCAGACUCCUACGGGAGGCAGCAGUGGGGAAUUUUGGACAAUGGGGGCAACCCUGAUCCAGCAAUGCCGCGUGUGUGAAGAAGGCCUUCGGGUUGUAAAGCUC